This is a long non-coding RNA of Chlorocebus sabaeus (green monkey), 7788 nucleotides long. RefSeq lists it as uncharacterized. The record is from RefSeq and is a predicted model, not a curated record. Lineage: Eukaryota; Metazoa; Chordata; Mammalia; Primates; Cercopithecidae.
GAAAUGGGAUUGCAAACCUAGUAGUUGCGCGUGUCGGCUGUUCAGGACUAGCGCAGGACUCCGGGCGCCCUCCCAGCCUACUCGUGCCGCUGUCCGGGCACUAGCUUCCCGAGAAAAGUCGUGGGACCAUGUCGAAUAUGGGGAAGCCGUUAUUUAACUUGAAGUUUGCUGCAAAAGAACUUAAUAGGAAUGCCAAGAAAUGUGAUGAAGAAGAAAAAGCUGAAAAGGCCAAGAUUAAAAGACUUCUGCCUUGAACAAAUUCGAACACCAGUUUGAAAUAUUGGAUAUUCAAACACAACAAAUGGAAGAUAAAAUGAGUAACUCUACAACCCUAACAACACCACAAAACCAAAUGGAUAUGCUGCUUCAGGAAAUGCCAGAUGAAGCUAGGCAGGAGAGUGAAUCCGAUCUCCCUUACUCCAUUUUGACCAGAUAUGGAAGAUGAGGAAACUGAAUGUGAUCUGAUAUUCAAGAUAGCUGCUUUGCAAUAUUUCCCUCCAUGGUUAUACAGGAUUUUGACUUCAGCAUGUGUGUGGUCUUGAAGGCCACUUAGGAUGAGACUGAUUGCAGGAGACUAAGGAUAUUGGCUAUGAUACCUUCUAUAUUUAUAAGGUUUCUGAUGACUUCAGAGAUUUUGAUGUUACAAUAGAGGAAAAGCUUUCAGAACUCUCAUGGAAAGCUGAAAUGUUCAUGAAGAUCAAGCAGAACAGGAGUUAACUGCAUGGACUAAACUAAUAAAAGACUGUUAAUAAUCCUUACAGCUUUUAACAGUUGAGUAAAGCAUGUGCCUGUAAACAAAAUUUAGAGCAUAUUACUUUCUCUUUACUUGAUUUCUCCAGAAUUUAGAUACUACUUGUAAGUAUUUUUGACUCAUGGCAAUAUAGUUACUUGCCUUAGUGCAAUAAGAAUCUACUUUCUUUUACACAGGACACAAUUGGAGAAACUGGUUAUUUUACCAAGGUUUUGACUGGAAUGGCAUACUUGCAGGUGGCUUUAAGGAAUCAACUUUGACUUAGAGAGCCAAUAAAUACACCUUGGGGAAAACUGGCCUCAUACUUUGUCUAAAUAGUCACUGUACACAUCUCUUGACCUCUGGUAAGUAAAGAAUGUUAUUUUCCAGUAGGCCAAGUAGCCCCAAGUUGUCUUGGGACCUCAAGAGGAGAGGAAUUUACCCAACUCAUAUAGGUAAUUGAUGACACUAACCCAUGGCUGGGAUUAAGUCUUCAAAAAAGUCUUAUCUGAUUCCUCAUGAAAUGAAGUUCCAUCAAAGACAAUUUAAAAGGGAGCCUAUAUGACAAGUAAUUAUUCUUGCUGUUCUUUAUGCAAAUAAUCAGGUCAAGUAUAAUAAGACUAAAGUUUAUUCUGCAAACUAAUCAAUCCUGUCAUGAUAUUUUUUAAACAAAGGAGGACUGGAAAGAGAAAAAUCAUGUUUCAAGAACUAUAAUAUACCUAUUACUAGAUUCUAGUCUCAUCAGUUGUUUUUGAGUGUUUGUCUGCAAUUCAGACUAACCCUGCUUAUUCCUGUGAACCAACUAGUGAACUCUGGCUACAACUCAGAAGAAACAAGAGAGAUGGGUCAUGUAAAAACCUGAAUCAAUGUGCUAAUUCUGGGCAAUAGAAGAAUUGGCUAGCAACCCCAUGCACCCACGUCUUAUCAGGCAUGAAUAUAGCCACCAACUACCAGUGCAUGUUGGCAGCUUCUGGAUUUUUUGGAGGUGUCUUCUCCCCCUUAUUUUGUUUUGACAUUAUUCUCAAUCUACUAACCUGAUGUCUUUCCUCUUGUGUUCAGGCUAUCAAGCUCCAAAAUAUGCUCAGUGAUGGAUACUGUCCUCUCAAUACUAGAGUCACACUUCUAGAGGGGACCCCUAGACUGCCCAUCAGUGGAACAUGACAGAGGCAAAAUCUUGCCACUGUCUUCCUUGGCCCUGGGUGGCUACCACUUUCACCAAUCCAUGGAACUACCCUGCUCUGACAGCUAACUUCUGUCAGAAGGAAACAAUUACAGAAGACUGACUUAUAUCAAUUUUCCCCAAAGAAUUGGGGUCUUGGAUUGUUGAGAGGGGACAUGGUAACAGUAAGUAGCUAGUAAGACAUGAGCAGAGCAGGGGAGGUCUCUCCCCCACCACACACACACCAGGAAUGUCAGGUGGUUUUUAAGUGUCUCCCUAAAGUAAUAAUUGGUCACAGCUUGUGCAAGGGAAAGGCAGUCUCCCAAUAGGAAAAUACUGAAACUAGUGAUCAGCUUCCUGAUGAGAUCUCAGGAAUCAGGCGAGUGGGCUCAGGCAUGUGCACCAAGAGGCAAAAUGGUGGAGUUUAACUGAUGUAUGACCUUCUGAGGACAUUUGACUGUUAAGGGAAGAACUCCUCAAGAGAACAUGCAUACAACUCCAGUAAACACACUGUGCCUGUGGCCCUUCCCAAGUGCUAGCAGGCCACUGUGCAUGUGGACAGCCCACCACAAGGGAAGAAUCAGAGAAGAAGGGACGCAAGACCCUUGAAGCCUAUCAACAUAUAUAUAUAUAUAUAUAUAUAUAUAUAUAUAUAUAUAUAUAUAUAACACAAGUCAAAAGAUCAAACUGUGCACUUAUCUCUGAAGUACCCGCUUGUUCCUCUUACAAGAGUAUUUCACUUUCUUUCAUUCCUGCUCUAAUGCUUUUUAAUAUACUUUUAGGCCUGCUUUAAACUUGCUUUGGUUUCUCACUCUGCCUUAUGCCCCUCAGUCAAAAGCCUUCUGAGGAGUCAAGAGUUGAGGUUGCUGCAGACCUGUACAGAUUUGCCACUGGUAACAACGCCUGGCUGAACAUUCCAUUGGCAGUAGCUCUGUGUUUCUGUGAGGUGGAGUUCCCAGAAGCAACUGAUAGUCCCUCUGCUCCUGCCUUCCACAGUACUUGCUGCCCCCAGGGUGGAAAAGUCACAAAGAGCUUGAGUACUGUACUCGCACUUCCAGCAUGCUACAGCCACCCUACAGAGAGGAGAUCAGACUGUGUUCCCAGGAGCCGCCCCCCAACCCCAUCUCUUCACCAGGCAGGGCCCUCUGGCUUGGGCCUGCAGCAAAGAAGUGUCACCCCCAGCUGAUCAUUGCAAUUUGCAGUAGCUCUGUGUUUCUCUGUCAUAUAGCUCCCAGAGACAAAUGAGAAGGCCGACGGCCAUCAUUGCUGCUGAGGUCCCCACCCCUGCUGCCCCAAGCUGAAUAGGGAACAAGAAGCCUAAACAUACCCCAGGGCUACUGUGCAUAGCUUAGGAGUGUCAAAUGGUGAUCUGUGGCCAGCACACGAGCAGGAGAGGAACCCACACUCUCAGAGUCCUGAGAGGUUAGAGUCAAAGCUUCAGGAACUGUGCAGAAACACAGCAUGCCUCCAUCUGCAGGUUCCACCUGGGAAAGUUAUGGCCUAUCUCCCCGUCAUGGCCCCUGCCCAUGGAAGUCCUGCAGCCUAGAAUGCCUAACAAAAGAAAAGCGGAUGCCAUGCCAGUGAUUAUAGGGAGUUCUUCCAUGACACAGGAGUGGACCUAGUGAGGGAGUCACCUCUCUCCACCCCGCACCAAAGAGCACACCUGAAAGCAUGAAGAAAUACAGAGAAGCCACAUGGUAUAAUAAGAGCCUAUUUACUAUUACUCUUAAACACCAUCUACUGAAUUGUAGCCCAAACUAGAACACCAAAAUUAUUUUGCUAAUAUACUCAUCUGUGAAACCAAGGGCAAUAAUUUCAGCCACACACAAGAAAAGACCCACCACAGAGCCUUGGCCCUCUGAAAACAUCCAGAAAUAAAUGCAACUGACUAUACUCAAACUACACUACAGUUGAAGGAAUGUCAGUCCUCCCAGUUGAGAAAGAAUGAGCCCAAGAAUUCUGGCAAAACAAAUAGCCAGAGUGUCCCCCUACCCUUAAACAAGUCCACUAGCUCCCCAAGAAUGGUCCUUAACAUUUUGGAAAUGACUGAAGUGACAGACAUACAACUCAAAAUUUAUAUGGCAAGGAAGCUUCAGGAGAAAGUUAAAAUUUCAAUCCAAGGAAUCUAAAAAAUCCAGUAAAAUGAAAUGAGCUGAAAGACAAAAUAACCGUUUUAACAAAGAAUCAAACUGAUAGAGCUGAAAACUCACUACAAGAAUUUCAUAAUAAAAUUGGAAAUAUUAACAGCAGAAUAGGCCAAACUGAAGAAAGAUGAGACCCAAACAUCUGCUGUCUUCAAAAGACACAUAUCUCAUUUAAUAACACCCCCAGGCUCAUAGUAAAGGGUUGGAGAAAGAUCUACCAUGCAAAUUAAAAAGAGCAGGUGUUGCUAUUUUUAUAUCAGAUAAACAGAUUUUAAACUAAUAAAAGUUAUAGACAUUGUGUAAUGAUAAAGCAUACAAUACAACAAGAAGAUAUAACUAGACUAAAUGUAUAUUCAGCUGACAUUAGAGCACUGAGAUUCAAAAACAGUUAUUUUUGACCUACGAAGACUUCAACAACCAUGGAAUAAUAGUGAGAGACUUGAACACCACACUGACAACAUUAGACAGGACAUCAAGGCAGAAAACUAACAAAGAAAUUCUGGACUUAAACUUGAAACUUGACCAAUUGGGUUAAAAAGACAUCUACACAACACUCCACCCAAAAACCAUAGAAUAUAUAAUCUUCUCAUCUGCAUAUGAAACAUAUUCUAAGAUUGACCACAUGCCCAGUCAUAAGGAAAGUCUCAAAAAAUUAAAAAAAUUGAAAUCAUAACAAGCACACACUCGGACCACAAUCCUCACGGAAUACUAUGAACAACUAUAUGCAUGCAAAUUAGCAAAUCCAGAGUAAAUGGAUAAAUUCCUGGAAAAACACACAUUCCCAAAAUUAAAUCAGGAAUGUAUUGAAACCCUGAAUAGAUCAAUAUAGAGCUCUGAAAUUAAAUCAGUAAUUAAAAUGAAAAACUACCAAUAAAAAAAAAAAGCCCAGGACAAGAUGGAUUCACAGGUGAAUUCUACCAGGUGAACAAAGAAGAAUUUGUAGUAAUCCUUCUGAAACAGUUCCAAAAAAUUGAGGAGGAGUGUCUGCUAACUGUCUCAUUCAGUGAAGCCAACGUCAGCCUAAUACCAAAAUCUGGCAGACAACGUGAGAAAGGAAAUUUCAGACUAAUAUUCUUCAUGAAUAUAGAAGCAAAUAUCCUCAACAAAAUACUAGUAAAUUGAAUCCAGCAGCACAUCGAAAAGUUAAUGCACCACAACCAAGUAGGAUUUGCAAAGCUGGUUCAAUAUAUGCAAAUCAAUAAAUGUGAUUCCCCACAGAAACGAAAUUAAAAACUAAUACCACAUGAUCAUCUCAAUAGGCAAAAAGAUUUUGAAAAAAAUCCAACUUGUUCAUGUCCAAACCCCUCAAAAAAUUUUGAUACGGGAUUUUUCUCAGCCCCUUUGCUAGACUUGCAGCAGGGGGCUCCCCAUCUACUUGAUCCACCAAGAUCAGCCCCUGGCAGGAGGAAACACAUGAACAAGUGCAGGGUCUGGCCGGCCACUCUGAGCACCAACAGGAGAAAACUCCAUGUGGGUCCCAUGGCCCGACCAAAGUUAUUGCACUGAGGAGAACAUGGCUGAACCCAGGCAGGUGUGCCUGCAAGCCCAAAGCCCCCAAGGGAGUGUUACAGUGUACUAAUUAGCUCUUUUAGUUCCACUGUCCACAGCCCGGUAGAUGGUGGCAUGUUAGCAGCUCAAUCAGCCUUUUGCCUCACCCUGGCAUGUGACUCCAGAAACAGUGUGGCUCCAGGGCCGGCUUGGACCCACCACUGUUUCUGUCACAUGGGACAACUGCCAUCCUUUGGUGAGAGCAAAGGGCCAUUGUUACAGCCUUUUUGGGUACAGGUGUUCAGUGGGUCCUGAGCUUUUCUUCUGUGUCCAAGAAGAAUGAGGUCGUGCUGACAAUUGAAAGGUGAUGAAGGUAGAGAAUUUCAUUGAGUGGCAAAACAGCUCUCAGUGGAGAAGGGAGGGGACAGGAGGGUCGGUUCAUCUCUUCCAAAGUCAGGUCAUCUCUUCCCUGAUGUGGCUGAGUCUGGGGCUCCUAUAGGCACAGGGGAGGGGAGUGCUUGCUGAUUGGUUUGUGAGUAUGCACAAAAGGUUAAAACAAAGGCACCAGUCAAAGGUGGGCACAGUGUAAAAAGAAUUAGGGAAGGGUAGAUAAAUGUAAAAUAGGUGAAAGGUGGGGAUCAAUCAAAGGAAAGCAUGUAAAAUGGGAAGACAGGUUUGCAACCUGGUCUGUGAAUUUUACUUGUAACUUGGCCUUUAGGGUUUAAACUGUCUUUGGCUUGAAGGUGGGAUUUCACUGGGUACCUGCCCCUGUUUUAGGAUUUCUCUACCUUCUGCCUCUAUCAUUUCCCCCUCUGAAGAGGUACAUGUAACUGCCAUUAGAACAGGGAUGAUGACUGAUCUUAGCUACUUCCUGCUGACAGGGAGCAUUGUUUUCAGGGCAGUGACAGUCAGAUUUCUCUCAGAGGCCUAUCUAAGGGAACCCUGUAAAAGGGAACCAUUGUCUGAGGCUCUGGUUGCAUGACUGGAGUUUGUUGGCCUGUAGGCAAGAAGAAACAAAUUUUACAAGGCUAACUAUGCAUGGAUCAAAUAUGGGUGUUAUACAAAGAGAAGUUAAAAGAAACGAAUCUAGUGUCAAAGAUAACAGAAAUAAGAAGUGAAAUAUACUAAUAAUUCUGAAAACAAUAUUGUGCCCCGAUGAAAGAAAUUAAAUAUUGUAUGGGAGCAAUUAAACUUUAGAAAAGAGAUAACUGUUUAGAGGAGUAGGUAUUUCUGUUUGUGUUCAGGAUUAAGGGACCCUUGGUAAAGAUACCUCAUGGUGACGAACAAAGUGAAGGUAAGAACAGCAAGCAUAGGCAAGACUAUAAAGAGGAUAUCCAUGGAAGGUCAAUUAUUAACACUUAUCUUUUGUGAUUUUUAGCUUAAGGUCCCAGAUUUUUUCACAUUCAUACUUUGGGUGCUCUGCUGGGUUGAUGAAGGUAAUGCUGUCAGCUUCCCCGUGCAUUUACUUGAGUAUAAUGAAUCCAAGAAUCUGUUCCAGUGACCUUCCCUGCUAUAGGAGUGGAAAGAAGUAAUGUACUUCCCAAUCUUCCCUCCCGAUCUGGGCCUAGAGAGGGAGAAAGGAAGAGAAGUGCCUUUACCAGUACUAGGUCCCCUGGAUUGAACAUAAUUUUAUCAUUUUGAGAUUGUUAUAUAAAUGAAAGUAGAUAGUGUUUAACCUUUUGAGAUUGACUUUUUCACUGAACAAGAUAUCCUUGAGAUCUAUGAAAGUUUUUGAUGUAUCAAUAAUUUGUUCAUUUUUAUUGCUGCAUAGUAUUCCACAGUAUAGAUGCACCAGUUUGUUUAACCAUUCGCCUUCUAAGAGGCAACUGCAAUAUUGGCAGUUUUGGGAUAUUACCAAUAAAGCUGCAGUGAACAUGUGUGUAAAGGUUUUGUUGUAAAAAUGUUUUAAAUUUUCUGGAGUAAGUGCCCCCAAGUGCAAAUUACUGGGCCAAAUGAUGUGUAUUUUUAACUUUCUAAGAAACAAUCAUAUUCUUCCAGAGUGGCUGUACCAUUUUCUAUUCUCACCAACAAUGUAUGAUCUAGCUUUUCUGAAUCCUCACCUGCAUUUUGUACUGUCACUGUUGUCUAUUUUAGCCAUUUUGAUAGGUAUGUAGUGAUAACAUAGUUUUAAUUUAUAUUUCCGUAAUGGCUAAGCAUAUUGAACACCUUUCCACGUGAUUAUUGUCACAUGUAUAUAUUCUUUGGUGAAAAGUCUGUUCAUGUCUUCUGCCUACUUUCUAGUGAUACAAUAAACUUUAUUAUUUUUU